RNAcentral lists this ribosomal RNA (458 nucleotides) under uncultured bacterium. RNAcentral's name for it is "partial 16S ribosomal RNA". It matches the Rfam family "Bacterial small subunit ribosomal RNA", at positions 338 to 795 of the family's 1533-position model. The record is from RNAcentral.
CCUACGGGUGGCAGCAGUGCGGAAUAUUGGUCAAUGGACGAGAGUCUGAACCAGCCAAGUAGCGUGCAGGAUGACUGCCCUAUGGGUUGUAAACUUCUUUUAUAUGGGAAUCAAACAGGGUAUGCAUACCCUCUUGUAUGUACCAUAUGAAUAAGGAUCGGCUAACUCCGUGCCAGCAGCCGCGGUAAUACGGAGGAUCCGAGCGUUAUCCGGAUUUAGUGGGUUUAAAGGGAGCGUAGGGGGAUUGUUAAGUCAGUUGUGAAAGUUUGCGGCUCAACCUCGCUCCGCCGUUGAAACGGGCGUGCGUGAGUGGGCGAGAAGUAUGCGGAAGGCGUGGUGUAGCGGUGAAAUGCAGAGAUAUCACGCAGAACUCCGAUUGCGAAGGCAGCAUACCGGCGCCCAACUGACGCUGAGCACGAAAGCGUGGGUAUCGAACAGGAUUAGAUACCCGAGUAGUC